This 240-nucleotide unclassified non-coding RNA is filed under the name soil metagenome. RNAcentral describes it as "partial contains 5.8S ribosomal RNA, internal transcribed spacer 2, and large subunit ribosomal RNA". The record is from RNAcentral.
AACGCACGAGACCUGCGGACCUGCGGAAGGAUCAUUAUCGAAUCCUUAGGAUGUUGCUGGUCUUCCGGACAUGUGCACUCCGCCUUUUCAAUACACCUGUGAACUUAUUGUAGGUGGCAAUUACUUGUCACCUAUGUUUUUAUAACACACCCUUGAAAUGUAUAUUGAAUGUCUAAAUACGGCCUUUAUUGGUCAGUAAACUUUAAUACAACUUUUAACAACGGAUCUCUAGAUCGGAAG